This 925-nucleotide long non-coding RNA is filed under the name Marmota monax (woodchuck). Lineage: Eukaryota; Metazoa; Chordata; Mammalia; Rodentia; Sciuridae. The record is from RNAcentral.
UUUUUUUGUUUGUUUUGUUUGUUUGUUUAUUUGUUUACUUUUUAAUUGUGGGGAUUGAACACAGAAUCUUUUCCAUGCUAAUCAGUGGCUCUACCACAAAGCUUUACCUCUGAUUCAUUGGAGGUUUGGGUAAUUCCAAGAUUCAGGAAAUUGUCCCCAGAGCACCGAAAUGAGUCCCUUCAUCAUAGGAAAAUGUGAAAUUGAAAUAGUACCUGGUAAAUCCAAAGAACUUAAUCAGUUGCUGUGUUUUAUUUCACAUGUCAUUUGAUACCUUGUUUAACAGUCUAGAGUUUCUUAUUCCAGAGACUCAGCUUUGUCCUUUAUUUACUUAAUGAAACUUCAUUUUAUAUUGGUCACAGAAAAUGAUAUAUCCUCUGUGUUUAUUGGAUCAUUCCCUCCAUUCUGGCCUGGUUCCCUCUUUUUGGCACUUCUGUCACCUGCUUAUUUAUCUCGGCUCAUGCAUAUGCUCUCCACACUCACCCUGUCCCCAGCAUUUGGAACCAUCUAGCUACAAUGCAAAUGUGACUAUGAACCUCUCUCUAGAGCAUGAAAGGCCAGCUUUUAAAAUUACCCAGAAAUCUUUCGUGAGUUCAGCCUAACUCUAUUUCUUCUUUUGCCUUCACUGUCCUCUGGCAUUGCUCCUGAGCAGCCCUGUAUUUUCAGGCACAUACUGACCCACUUAAUGCUUGACUCUGUGUCCAGCUACAGCCUUUCAAGCUCUUUCCACUUUCUGCCUCUGACUGGUAACCUCACUUCAUUUAGUCUCUGCUGAGUCCUAGCUUCAGGAAGCCAUGAUCCCUAGCAUCUUUUUACUCUCUUCUCACUUACAAAAGGAGCAUAAUCAAUUUUGGGUUCAAAUAAACUGUUGAUGCCAAAUGAUGUAAAAGAAGUCACCUCAAGUCUAGGAGCCAAAGGGCUAGACAAG